RNAcentral lists this long non-coding RNA (312 nucleotides) under Erythranthe guttata (spotted monkey flower). RNAcentral's name for it is "long non-coding RNA (EGUT_LNC001931)". The record is from RNAcentral. Lineage: Eukaryota; Viridiplantae; Streptophyta; Magnoliopsida; Lamiales; Phrymaceae.
CAGAACACAUGAAUUACUAAAAUAGACAAGAUUCAAAGACAAUUGCAGAAUUACAAAAAAUAAUAUGCACAAAUGAACUACUUACGAGAUACGAAUCUCAAUAGCCACAAGUGUGAAAUAAAUAUCACUCCAAACCCUAACACGAGAACAAUUUAUAGAAGCCUCUAUUGGUUCACGUUCAGACCAGAAAAACCGCCUUCCUCCACCGCUAACUCCUCGACCUUUCUCCAGGUUGUGGCAUAAAUGGAGAGAUAAUAGAGGGGCGGCGCCGACAGUGAGAUAGAAAAUCGAGGGGAGGGGCGGGGGCGGUGG